This 564-nucleotide long non-coding RNA is filed under the name Olea europaea subsp. europaea. Lineage: Eukaryota; Viridiplantae; Streptophyta; Magnoliopsida; Lamiales; Oleaceae. The record is from RNAcentral.
CAAUUGCAAACAUAAAUUGCACGGCAUUGUUUCAAUUUUCAUACCUUAUUUCAAUUCGACUUGAGACAGAGUGAUAGACCAGACAACUUCCUUUCCUUCCUCUUCCAGAAUUCUUUGGACUCCAAUCCGAAGGGUGAGUUCAUUGUUAUUUUUGUGGUCUAAAUUUUUUUGGUUGUUGGUAGAGAUCAUUAUAUUUUUGAAUGUACCGAUAAUGAUAAUCAAUUUGAGGGAUAUGUUUUAAUCAAAAUUAGGGUUUAUCUGCAGUUGUGCAUAACUUCAGGUGCAAACAUUGAAGUUUUGCACCUGAAGGCUGAAGUUGUACCGGGUUCGUCUUGGGUAAUUUAUUGUUUUGUUUUUUUCUGCUUUUGUUUUUAUUUUCUUUCUUUGUAAACCCUACAAUGAGUUUAGAACUGCCCCAAAAAUAUUAGAGAAACUUGUUAUUGAUGAAAGUAAGUAGUGGCUUUUAUUGUGAAGUAAUAAUACCCAAUUCAACCUCUCGCCUCCGCCUGAUUUGGGGUGUGAGGAAGUUGAACCUAUCGGCUAUUUCUCUUUCUGGCUUCUGCC